GGGGCGAGGAAGAGGAGGUAGAAGCUGCUUAAGGAGGCCACGGAAUCUGCAGACGUCUCACCGUCGACCAGUUUUCUCAUACGGUCGACAUAUGGUAUGUACCCGGUGGCCUAAACUUCCACAGGAUAAAUCUCUACCUGAGAUUCUGAAUUCUAUAGAAUAAGGAGAUCUAAAUACUAGUCUAGACUAGUAUAGCUGAAUUAGUAUACCAAGCUUGUGUGAGCUAAGUCCGACGACAUGACUCAAGUCUUGCCAAGGUCUGGGUUAAAUAUAAGUCUAGGCUGGGUCUAGGUUGAAUCUACUUAUAUUAUCGAAAUGAAAUUUUAUAUUUCUGCUAAUAUUUGUAACUUGGGUUACGCGAGAGUUAUCCAAAAUUAAAAUGGAACAAGAUGGUUCAGAACGCGAAAAACGAAAUCAGUCUCUUUGGAAUGUCCGAAUCGAUGACUCGACUCUAACGACUGUAAUCUGAUAAGGAUCGAUUUCAAGUUUAUAGGAGGAACCAUGAUGUGAUAACACUUGCUAUCGAGAGAGCAUAGUGUCCAAAAAGCUGGUCGAUUUCAUUAAGAAGUUGUUGGAUGAAGUCAAUGAAGUCACCAGGUAUGGUGAACCAAUCGAGAGUAAUGUAUAACCCCCUGAUUUACAUUCGCACGUGUUCUCAAGGCAUCAUGAGGUGACUUUUGGAGAGUCCUUUCGGCCACUCAAGUCUGGCGGAGGUGUUGGCGGUCUCCGUCACAAAGAACAGGAGGAAAGGAAGGAAAGUGCAGCCAGUGCAAAAAAGGAACUGUUUCAAAGCGCGGUAGCACUUUCUGCGGACCAAAAUUCGCCUGCUUAGCAGCGUAAAGCUAUUGCACGUAACAAUCAACUAGCGUAUCUUGACAGUAGGAGAAAGUGUACUCUAUACAGUCCCGGACUUCCACUUUUCUAACUCACGCAAACCAAAUCUUCGUCUGUGGAAAACGCAACAAGUGAAGUCUGGCUUAUACUAAUUUUUAUAGAAAGUAGAGACGAUAGAAAAGUUAGAAAUAGAUAUAGUGGCUUACGAAAGUAUUCGAAAACUGUUAGAAGCUUUUUAUGUACAUAUAUAUUAUACAAAACAUUUUGAAAUCUGAUAUCGAUCAAAUUUGAAAUAGAUUAGGAAGACUAUUAUUGACUUAAGAUUUCCACGAUGGUUUUUUGAAUUCAUCAUAUUUGGUCUUCAGGUUAUCAAUCGUGUUAUAUAUUAUUUUGUAAGCCGAUCUUUCGUGAACGUUGUAAUUCACUUCUUCAGGGUUAUCCUGAAACUGAGCUUUUCCAGGUAUUUUUUAUGGUCGUGUUCAGAACACGAUUUCCAUUGGUCAACCAGAGGCACUUCUUUGACCAUAAAAAGCAUUAGCAAAAUCUGGAAAUACUCAGUUUCAGUACAACACUGAAGACGUAAAAUACAACGUCCACGAAACGUCGGCUUACAAAGCAAUAUAUAAUAUGAUUGAUAACCUGAAGAUCAAUUAUGAAUAGUAUUCAUGCCGUAUACUAAUUUUCUACUGAGUGUAUAUUUGCGAUAUAUGUCUUGUAAUUUCUAUAUACAUGUCCAAUUAAUACGGUAGUACAAUAAUUACAAUGAUCGUGUCUCGUUACGGUGUUAACGAAUUUUCAAAAAGUUUUGUAGAAUGCAUAUAAUAUAUUCAUAAAAAAUACUGUGGUCGGUAUACGAGUACUUCUGUGAACCACUGCUUUUUUGAUAUAAAAUUAUGAUAUUCGUCUGUUAUGUUGCACAUACAUGUACGUUUAACAGCGUACAAGUAACAUAUGGCAUCGAGAAAUGAUCGGGAAAGAAGCGUGUAUGAGGUCACUGAACCUUCCUAUGAGCUAACGACGCAUCGUACGUAUCCCUUUUCUCUCUUUUCGCGUUCGUUUCGGUUUUUUCCUGUUCCGUAAAAGAGAGGAGGCCGCCACACGCGCCUAACUGGCAAAACGUGUCACAUGGCUCGCAUCAUUGUGAGAGACGCAUGGUUUGUGGUAAUGGUAAUCCAAUCGCCGGAGACUUGUUCGACUUGAAACUCACUUGUGGU
This is a long non-coding RNA of Bombus pyrosoma, 2048 nucleotides long. RefSeq lists it as uncharacterized. NCBI's taxonomy places the organism in Eukaryota, Metazoa, Arthropoda, Insecta, Hymenoptera, Apidae. The record is from RefSeq and is a predicted model, not a curated record. The transcript has 3 exons.